CGUAGGGGGCGAGCGUUGUCCGGACUCAUUGGGCGUAAAGAGCUCGUAGGCGGUUUGGCAAGUCAGGUGUGAAAUCUCCGGGCUCAACUCGGAGAGGCCACCUGAUACUGCUAUGACUAGAGUCCGGUAGGGGACCAUGGAAUUCCUGGUGUAGCGGUGAAAUGCGCAGAUAUCAGGAGGAACACCGGUGGCGAAGGCGGUGGUCUGGGCCGGUACUGACGCUGAGGAGCGAAAGCGUGGGGAGCGAACAGGAUUAGAUACCCUGGUAGUCCACGCCGUAAACGUUGGGCACUAGGUGUGGGGCCUUAUCAACGGGUUCCGUGCCGUAGCUAACGCAUUAAGUGCCCCGCCUGGGGAGUACGGCCGCAAGGCUA
This 374-nucleotide ribosomal RNA is filed under the name uncultured organism. RNAcentral describes it as "bacterial SSU rRNA". It matches the Rfam family "Bacterial small subunit ribosomal RNA", at positions 526 to 896 of the family's 1533-position model. The record is from RNAcentral.